RNAcentral lists this ribosomal RNA (253 nucleotides) under uncultured bacterium. RNAcentral describes it as "partial 16S ribosomal RNA". It matches the Rfam family "Bacterial small subunit ribosomal RNA", at positions 524 to 776 of the family's 1533-position model. The record is from RNAcentral.
GACAGAGGGUGCAAACGUUGUUCGGAUUUACUGGGCGUAAAGCGCGUGUAGGCGGCUUGGCAAGUCGGAUGUGAAAGCCCACGGCUCAACCGUGGAAGCGCAUCCGAAACUGCUUCGCUCGAGUCUCGGAGAGGAAGGUGGAAUGCUUGGUGUAGAGGUGAAAUUCGUAGAUAUCAAGCAGAACACCUGCGGCGAAGGCGGCCUUCUGGACGAGGACUGACGCUGAGACGCGAAAGCGUGGGGAGCAAACAGG